GCUCAAUCUGUGCCGGCCGCUACGGGAAGUCAGUGGGUGUGGGCGUUAAGCGGAUUUACUGGGCGUAAAGCGCGAGUAGGUGGUUAAUUAAGUCAAAUGUGAAAUCCCCUAGCUUAACUUGGGAAUUUCAUUCGAUACUGGUUAGCUAGAGUAUGGGAGAGGAUGGUAGAAUUCCAGGUGUAGCGGUGAAAUGCGUAGAGAUCUGGAGGAAUACCGAUGGCGAAGGCAGCCAUCUGGCCUAAUACUGACACUGAGGUGCGAAAGCAUGGGGAGCAAACAGGAUUAGAUACCCUAGUAGUC
RNAcentral lists this ribosomal RNA (300 nucleotides) under uncultured Acidianus sp. RNAcentral's name for it is "bacterial SSU rRNA". It matches the Rfam family "Bacterial small subunit ribosomal RNA", at positions 496 to 795 of the family's 1533-position model. Lineage: Archaea; Thermoproteati; Thermoproteota; Thermoprotei; Sulfolobales; Sulfolobaceae. The record is from RNAcentral.